Molecule: ribosomal RNA, 557 nt
Filed under: Tylototriton wenxianensis (Wenxian knobby newt)
Lineage: Eukaryota; Metazoa; Chordata; Amphibia; Caudata; Salamandridae
Description: partial 16S ribosomal RNA
Rfam family: Bacterial large subunit ribosomal RNA
Source: RNAcentral
UCGCCUCUUGCAACAAUUAAGUAUAAGAGGUCCCGCCUGCCCAGUGACUAGUUCAACGGCCGCGGUAUCAUGACCGUGCAAAGGUAGCGUAAUCACUUGUCUUUUAAAUAAAGACCCGUAUGAAAGGCAAAACGAAAGUUCAACUGUCUCUUUAAUCCAAUCAAUGAAAUUUAUCUUUUCGUGCAGAGGCGGAGAUAAACAUAUAAGACGAGAAGACCCUAUGGAGCUUCAAACACACUAUUAACUACUACAGUAAUUUCAACCAACAGGCAAAAUCAUAAACCACAUAGCCAUAAUAUAAGUUUUAGGUUGGGGCGACCACGGAGCAAAAAAAAUCCUCCGAGAUAAACAAUUUAGAGUAACACUUCGAAAAUUAAAACAUUUAUUAUAAAUGAUCCACUAAGUGACCAACGAACCAAGUUACCCUAGGGAUAACAGCGCAAUCCUUUCUAAGAGUCCAUAUCGACGAAUGGGUUUACGACCUCGAUGUUGGAUCAGGACACCCAAAUGGUGCAGCCGCUGUUAAAGGUUCGUUUGUUCAACGAUUAAAGUCCUAC